Molecule: long non-coding RNA, 919 nt
Filed under: Chrysolophus pictus (golden pheasant)
Lineage: Eukaryota; Metazoa; Chordata; Aves; Galliformes; Phasianidae
Description: lncRNA (ENSCPIG00010010054.1)
Source: RNAcentral
GGUUAAUUAGGGUUAAUGGGGGGGUGGUGGGGAGGGGGGUUAAUUAGCAAACGUUAAUUAAUUGGGAUUUAAUUGGGGGCGUCCUCAGGUCGGUGGUGGUGGGCAGCGCCAGAGGGGAAAUGGGCGUCAUCGACCUGCGCAAAGGGCGGCUGCUGAAGUGCCUGAAGGGGGUGGGGGGCAGCCCGCGGGGGCUUCCGGCUGAAGGGGGUGGGGGGCAGCGUGCGGGGGCUGCAGUGUCACCCCUCGCUGCCCCUCGUCGCCUCCUGCGGCCUCGAUCGCUUCCUGCGCCUCCACAGCCUCCACGACAAACGGCUGCUGCACAAGGUGUACCUGAAGUCACGCUUGAACUGCCUUCUGUUGAGCAGCUGCCAGGACCUGGAGGUGAGAAAGGGAGGGAGGGGGGGGUAAGGGGGGGUCCUUGGGGUCCACCCAAAUGGAGUGACCCCAAAUCAUCGCCCCAAAUCGGCUCGUGUCACUCCAGUUGGCUUGGAAGGGUCCUUGAAGGUCAUAGGGUGGGUUGGCUUGAGUUGGAAAGGUCCUUGAAGGUGAAAUAGCCAUGGAAGAGGGAUAAAAAGGUCCUUGAAGGGCAUAGGAAGGGUUGAGUUGGACUGGAAGGAUCUUGAAGGUUGAAGAAUGAUGGGUUGGGAAGGUCCUUGAAGGUCGUAGAAACACGGAAUGGGAUGGACGGGUCCUUGAAGGUCAAAGAUCCGUGGUUUGAGUUGAAGGGUCCUGGAAGGUCAAAGAAAUAUUGAAACCCCCCCUGGCCCCCCCCCCGGCUGGGGAUGCCCCCCCCCCUGUGGAGGGCGGCGAUGCGCUGUGGGACGCGAUGGAAACCGUUUGUGCCCAGAAACGAGCCCCAAAAAGGAAGAAUUUGGGGCCGUGAGGGGGGGGCACUGCGACCCCCCCCCCCCCCCCUCCC